This 825-nucleotide ribosomal RNA is filed under the name Maribacter sp. RNAcentral's name for it is "bacterial SSU rRNA". It matches the Rfam family "Bacterial small subunit ribosomal RNA", at positions 56 to 875 of the family's 1533-position model. The record is from RNAcentral. Lineage: Bacteria; Pseudomonadati; Bacteroidota; Flavobacteriia; Flavobacteriales; Flavobacteriaceae.
UGCAAGUCGAGGGGUAACAUAGUAGCUUGCUACUGAUGACGACCGGCGCACGGGUGCGCACCGCGUAUGGAACCUACCUUUUACAGGGGAAUAGCCUUUGGAAACGAAGAUUAAUGCCCCAUAGUAUCAUUAUACAGCAUUGUAUUUUGAUUAAAGGCUUCGGCCGGUGAAAGAUGGCCAUGCGUCCCAUUAGUUUGUUGGUAAGGUAACGGCUUACCAAGACUACGAUGGGUAGGGGCCCUGAGAGGGGGAUCCCCCACACUGGUACUGAGACACGGACCAGACUCCUACGGGAGGCAGCAGUGAGGAAUAUUGGACAAUGGAGGAGACUCUGAUCCAGCCAUGCCGCGUGCAGGAAGAAUGCCCUAUGGGUAGUAAACUGCUUUUAUACGGGAAGAAAAAGAGCUACGUGUAGCUUACUGACGGUACCGUAAGAAUAAGGACCGGCUAACUCCGUGCCAGCAGCCGCGGUAAUACGGAGGGUCCGAGCGUUAUCCGGAAUUAUUGGGUUUAAAGGGUCCGUAGGCGGGCGAUUAAGUCAGUGGUGAAAGUCUGCAGCUCAACUGUAGAAUUGCCUUUGAUACUGGUCGUCUUGAGUUAUAGUGAAGUUGCCGGAAUAUGUAGUGUAGCGGUGAAAUGCAUAGAUAUUACAUAGAACACCGAUUGCGAAGGCAGGUGACUAACUAUAUACUGACGCUGAUGGACGAAAGCGUGGGGAGCGAACAGGAUUAGAUACCCUGGUAGUCCACGCCGUAAACGAUGGAUACUAGCUGUCCGGGACCUUGAGUCCUGGGCGGCCAAGCGAAAGUGAUAAGUUCCCACCUG